Molecule: long non-coding RNA, 1081 nt
Filed under: Ananas comosus (pineapple)
Lineage: Eukaryota; Viridiplantae; Streptophyta; Magnoliopsida; Poales; Bromeliaceae
Description: long non-coding RNA (ACOM_LNC025689)
Source: RNAcentral
UUUAUACUAGUUUAAUAGAAACAAAUAUUAUUUUUUUUUAGAUCAAUUUGCAUAAAAAAUUUAUAUAGGAUUCGUUUGAUUUGGAUAUGAGUAAGAACUAAUUAUUUUAGAAAUAAGUAUAAGAUAAGGUACAAUGUGGAUAUAGAAUAAUUUUGUAUUUGAUUAAGUAUUGGGUUUAAUCCAGGUACAAACAAAAUAGUGUUUGGUUGGAGUAAAUAGAAUAAGAAGGAUAGCGUGUAGUUAUAAAUAAAAAAUAAUAAUAUUAUCCUUUUUAUUAUAUUUGAAUUAAAAUUUUUAAAUUUUAUAUUUAAAAUUUUAAAUUUAAAUAUAUAACUCUUAAAUUUCAAAAAUACAAAAUUAAAAUUUUAAUUUAAAAAUAUCAAAUUCGAAAAUUCAAAGAUCUAAAUUUUCAAUUUUAAAUUUUAAAUUUAAGAUCAAAUCUAAACUUAAAAUAUAAAAUUUUAAAUUUUAAAUUUAAAAAAAUUAAAUAUGUCAAUUUAAAAUUUAUAAUUAAAAUUUUAAAAUUUAAAAUUUAUUAUUAUAAAUUUUAAUUUUGAGAGUACAAAUUAUAAAUUUUUAAAAUUUAAAUUUUAAAUUUAAAACAUAAAUAGGAUGAGAAUAACUAUUCCCAUCCCUAUUCCAGGGGAAGGGUGAGAUUGCUAACCCCACCCCUUAACGGGUUAUCCCGGUAUAACCCGUUAAAAAGUGGAAUAGCAAUCCCCACUUUUUUUUUGUUUGGCUACCCCUUAUCCCACCCCUUAUACCCCAACCAAACGUAGGGAUAUAAGUUCUGAGCUUUUGCAAAAUUAGAUUGCUUUUUCGAUUUUACAGAUUCAGACUGGAUUUUCAACAAAUUGACCAAAAUACAUUAUUUCUUUUCUCUCUAUUUUUUUUUCUUCGUUCUUUUUUUUUUUUUUCUCUCCUACUGUCAUAGCCUCCUCCACCGCCUCUACGGCCCUCGGUAACAGUAAUGAGGGUGGCAUCGCAUCCUCUUUCUCUAUCUCCUCCUCCGCCGGCACUGACGGCCCUCGGCGACAAUAAUGAGGGCGGCGCCGCCUCCUCCGCCUCCGUCGACGCCGAA